AACAAUUGGAAAGUCGGUAAUGAAGUGUUUUGGGUAGGAUUUGGACUCUUUUCAAGUUUUACAGAAUUUAGCAAGACAAAGAUGAAAUUUUGGAUAUUUACUGUCCUCUGCUUCGUUCGAGCUUGUAUGGCAGUGACGGUAAUGAUUGACGGAGAGGAGGUGAAUUGCCAUAAAAACUGUGUGUGUUGUAAAGGAGGAAGGUCAAAAUGUGACUUUGAUAACCGCUGUACAGACGGAUGUGUUGCAACCAUAUAUAGUCACAGAUGUCAUAACUCUUGUCCUGAAAACUGCUA
Molecule: long non-coding RNA, 293 nt
Organism: Mya arenaria
Lineage: Eukaryota; Metazoa; Mollusca; Bivalvia; Myida; Myidae
Exons: 3
Source: RefSeq, a predicted model, not a curated record